Molecule: ribosomal RNA, 555 nt
Filed under: Saccharomyces cerevisiae (brewer's yeast)
Lineage: Eukaryota; Fungi; Ascomycota; Saccharomycetes; Saccharomycetales; Saccharomycetaceae
Description: partial large subunit ribosomal RNA
Rfam family: Eukaryotic large subunit ribosomal RNA
Source: RNAcentral
CUUAGUAACGGCGAGUGAAGCGGCAAAAGCUCAAAUUUGAAAUCUGGUACCUUCGGUGCCCGAGUUGUAAUUUGGAGAGGGCAACUUUGGGGCCGUUCCUUGUCUAUGUUCCUUGGAACAGGACGUCAUAGAGGGUGAGAAUCCCGUGUGGCGAGGAGUGCGGUUCUUUGUAAAGUGCCUUCGAAGAGUCGAGUUGUUUGGGAAUGCAGCUCUAAGUGGGUGGUAAAUUCCAUCUAAAGCUAAAUAUUGGCGAGAGACCGAUAGCGAACAAGUACAGUGAUGGAAAGAUGAAAAGAACUUUGAAAAGAGAGUGAAAAAGUACGUGAAAUUGUUGAAAGGGAAGGGCAUUUGAUCAGACAUGGUGUUUUGUGCCCUCUGCUCCUUGUGGGUAGGGGAAUCUCGCAUUUCACUGGGCCAGCAUCAGUUUUGGUGGCAGGAUAAAUCCAUAGGAAUGUAGCUUGCCUCGGUAAGUAUUAUAGCCUGUGGGAAUACUGCCAGCUGGGACUGAGGACUGCGACGUAAGUCAAGGAUGCUGGCAUAAUGGUUAUAUGCCGC